Non-coding RNA from Eremomyces bilateralis CBS 781.70, 132 nucleotides. Lineage: Eukaryota; Fungi; Ascomycota; Dothideomycetes; Eremomycetales; Eremomycetaceae. The record is from the annotation of a RefSeq genome assembly.
GGCUCUGUGGCGCAAUGGUAGCGCGUGCCCCUCCUAUAGUAAGGGCAAGGUUCUGUAAGUCAUAAAAAUGCAAGAAAUUGAGAAAGAAUCAUACUAACAACCAUUAAAGGGGUUCGAGUCCCAGCUGGGUCU